UCCGCGUUCAAAGAGUCGCAUUCAAAGCUUACGCACAGCAGAGACGGACUAUCGCAGUCCUUGUCUCCUGCAUACCCUUCGUUUCCGUCCUCAUGGACGAAACUAGCUUUGGGAGAAAGUCCCCGGACCGCCCUACCCUUCGAGAUUCUCAUUUCGAGGAACGUUAGGACUUGCCGAAAGGCGCCGCCAUCAAAGCAUUUUCACUGCGGCUUCUAUUCUCUGCCUCCCACUCUCCUCUGAAGACCCUGUCUUCCCGAUCUCCGACCUCGUUGUCGUUUGUACUCUGUGCAGGUUCUUGAUCUGUUGUCCCUGUUCGACGCUGACAGACAUCUGGACGGACGACGAUAUGAGUCCGUCCUUUGGGUUUCGGCUAGAUGCUCUGAUGCCGAGGCUGGGACUUGAUCGUGGUCAUCUGCCGGAAGAGACGGUGAGGGUUCACUGGGAGUCGGGUCCAGGACACUGUCUACGAGGGAACAAGAGUCGCACCUGGAGGUUGCGCAAUUCGUCACAUGCACAUAGUUAUGCGAUUGCUCAGCACAUGCCCUCUUCUUGCUUCGGUGACAAAGAAGAGCGCUGCGGAGUAACUCGACGGGGCUUAUUCUUGAGGCGCGG
RNAcentral lists this RNase MRP RNA (612 nucleotides) under Capronia epimyces CBS 606.96. RNAcentral describes it as "RNase MRP". It matches the Rfam family "RNase MRP". Rfam says of the family: RNase MRP is an enzymatically active ribonucleoprotein with two distinct roles in eukaryotes. The record is from Rfam by way of RNAcentral. Lineage: Eukaryota; Fungi; Ascomycota; Eurotiomycetes; Chaetothyriales; Herpotrichiellaceae.